This is a long non-coding RNA of Micropterus dolomieu (smallmouth bass), 384 nucleotides long. RefSeq lists it as uncharacterized. The record is from RefSeq and is a predicted model, not a curated record. The transcript is spliced from 3 exons. Lineage: Eukaryota; Metazoa; Chordata; Actinopteri; Centrarchiformes; Centrarchidae.
UCAACACCGGCGCCGUACUUUUGAUUCACCGCAGCGAGACACCAGCAUAUUGGUACAGUACUCCCGAAAAAAGGCAGAGUGACAGCGGCUAGAGAGAGACAGGAAGACAGCUUCACACAACAUGGUGGAAACUCAGGUGCCACAGUUUAUACGUGACCAUGUUGACUCCAUGCACCUCUGACCAUGGAGAUUGGCUGGCGCGGUACUCAAUCUCCUUUCUGAUAAUGGGGCCAUCUCCCAGGAUAGAGUUGGUGUUGAGCUGGAUGAUCAGCUGGUCACCACGCUGAAAGGGGAGACUCUGCAUCACUGACUGGUAAAAACUGGCCAAACCACGGAUUAAUUCCGUAGCCCGCCGGUCAAAUGUCACUUACUGGCAGAUCCAAG